CGGUAAUUCCAGCUCCAAUAGCGUACAUUAAAGUUGUUGCUGUUAAAAAGCUCGUAGUUGAACUUCUGACAGCGAGCAGGUUUGGCUUUGGCCAGCCUGUUCGUUGUCAUCCGUCUGCAAACCUUGUACGUCCUUCAGUGGUUCGGCAAGGGGAGUAGACAAUUUACUUUGAAAAAAUUAGAGUGUUCAAAGCAGGUAUUAGCCUGAAUACUUUAGCAUGGAAUAAUGGAAUACGACUCUUGUCUAUUUAUGUUGGUUAUUAGACUUGAGUAAUGAUUAAUAGGGACAGUUGAAGGCAUUAGUACUUAAUUGUCAGAGGUGAAAUUCAUGGAUUUAUUAAAGACUAACUAAUGCGAAAGCAUUUGCCAAGGAUGUUUUCAUUAAUCAAGAACGAAAGUUCGAGGAUAGACAGCGAUCAGACACCACUUUAUUUCGAACUAUAAACUAUACCGAUUUGAGAUAGCCAAUUUUAAUCGAAUAAUUGGCUGCAUCACAUGAGAAAUCCAAAUCUUUGGGUUCUGGGGGGAGUAUGGUCGCAAGAUUG
RNAcentral lists this ribosomal RNA (544 nucleotides) under uncultured eukaryote. RNAcentral describes it as "bacterial SSU rRNA". It matches the Rfam family "Eukaryotic small subunit ribosomal RNA", at positions 577 to 1139 of the family's 1831-position model. The record is from RNAcentral.